GAUGAACGCUGGCGGCGUGCCUAAUACAUGCAAGUCGAGCGAACGGACGAGAAGCUUGCUUCUCUGAUGUUAGCGGCGGACGGGUGAGUAACACGUGGAUAACCUACCUAUAAGACUGGGGUAACUUCGGGAAACCGUAGCUAAUACCGGAUAAUAUUUUGAACCGCAUGGUUCAAAAGUGAAAGACGGUCUUGCUGUCACUUAUGGAUGGAUCCGCGCUGCAUUAGCUAGUUGGUAAGGUAACGGCUUACCAAGGCAACGAUGCAUAGCCGACCUGAGAGGGUGAUCGGCCACACUGGAACUGAGACACGGUCCAGACUCCUACGGGAGGCAGCAGUAGGGAAUCUUCCGCAAUGGGCGAAAGCCUGACGGAGCAACGCCGCGUGAGUGAUGAAGGUCUUCGGAUCGUAAAACUCUGUUAUUAGGGAAGAACAUAUGUGUAAGUAACUGUGCACAUCUUGACGGUACCUAAUCAGAAAGCCACGGCUAACUACGUG
This 497-nucleotide ribosomal RNA is filed under the name uncultured bacterium. Its description in RNAcentral is "partial 16S ribosomal RNA". It matches the Rfam family "Bacterial small subunit ribosomal RNA", at positions 28 to 507 of the family's 1533-position model. The record is from RNAcentral.